This 568-nucleotide long non-coding RNA is filed under the name Homo sapiens (human). RNAcentral describes it as "non-protein coding lnc-IL17RA-13:3". The record is from RNAcentral. Lineage: Eukaryota; Metazoa; Chordata; Mammalia; Primates; Hominidae.
GCCUGUAAUUAGUUAAGCCAUUCAAAUUUGAAACAUACAAAAUGAUUUAUUUGAAUUCAGGAACUGCCCCUGUUCCUGACUGAAAUUACUUUAGAAGUAAUUUUUCUCCUGGUGAUAAAAGGCAUGUAAGGCUAUUUUAGGAAAUUGAAAAAUGCAAAAAGGUAUAAAGAAAAAGAAAAGAUAAUCAUUAAUAGUACGUUAGCAAACAAGAUUUGACUAAAGAUAUGACUUUCCUCCCGCUUGUUUUCUUAUGCAUAUAAUUAUAUCAUUGCUUUGUUUUUUAAAUUUUAGUUUGACUCAAUUUUACAGUUUCAGGAUUUUGUUUCUGUUUCACGUUUUAAGCUUUUCUUUUAUAAAUAGUUACUUUCCUAGUCUGAAAUCUAUACAUUGUUUCAGUAAUGAAUUGAGGUGAGAGGAUUGCUUGAGCCCAGAAGGUCAAGGCGGCAGUGAGCCAUAAUCCAGCCACUACACUCUAGCCUGAAUGACAGAGCAAGACUCUGUCUCAAAAAUGAACAAAGAAAGAAAAGAAAGAAAGAGAGAGAGAGAGAGGGAGGGAAGGAGGAAGGAA